GGCGAAGUAGCCAAGUGGUAAGGCGUGGGUCUGCAACACCCUGAUCACCGGUUCGAACCCGGUCUUCGCCU
Molecule: transfer RNA, 71 nt
Filed under: Lachnospiraceae bacterium JC7
Lineage: Bacteria; Bacillati; Bacillota; Clostridia; Lachnospirales; Lachnospiraceae
Also listed under: 4 other names
Description: tRNA-Cys
Rfam family: tRNA
About the family: Transfer RNA (tRNA) molecules are approximately 80 nucleotides in length. Their secondary structure includes four short double-helical elements and three loops (D, anti-codon, and T loops).
Source: RNAcentral